Molecule: long non-coding RNA, 2021 nt
Organism: Juglans microcarpa x Juglans regia
Lineage: Eukaryota; Viridiplantae; Streptophyta; Magnoliopsida; Fagales; Juglandaceae
Exons: 3
Source: RefSeq, a predicted model, not a curated record
AAUAAAAAAAAUCAAAACAUGUAAUACAUUUGUACAUAGAUUCGUUAAACUCGAAAGAGAACUCAUACUAAUAGAAAAAAGAUCAUAGAUCGCAAAAAUUCACCACCUCGAUAUAGUCUUAGAUCAGACCAGAACAAAUAUGAGAACGAAAUAUCCCAAACCAUAUAAUACACGUCUAGAUGAAUAAGGAUUGAAACUAGAAAACUUUUCCAAACAGAGAGCUUGCACAAAACCUCAAAUGACAAUCAAAUCACUAUGCUCAAUAACGAUGAAAAAAUUGAUACCAAAAAAUGUAUAACGAAGCAGAGAUGAGAUUAACAACAAAUUUACAGAAAGAAAAAUAAAAGCAACGAAAAUUACAGUUGUGCAAAAAAAAAAAAAAAAACCUUGGACCUGUAAAGUUAGGGAAAAAAAAAACUUCAAUGAAAAUACCAGCACAAUAAAUCACUAUAUAAGUAGUUGAAGAAAUCAUAAGAAAAACACUAGACAAACAGUAGCAACGAAAAGAAAAUCUUUUGCAGAUCUGGAAAAUAAAAAUUAGUACACCAAAAAAGUUACAUCUGCAGAAAAAAUGGGAAAUAUAUAAAACAACAGAUCUGAAGAAAAAAUUCCUUAGAUCUAUAGUAAAGCGUGUAAAUAGCUUUAGAUUUAUAAACGUAAAUCUAAACAAAAAAAAAGUUUUAAGCAUGGAGAAUGGGAAGUAAUGGAUGCGAUGUUCAUCAUCUCUGUUGCACGAAGAAAAAAAUUGUUUUUUCUUGGCCAGGUGAUAUGGAGUCAGGCUGUGCAAAACGGAGCUGUUAUGUUGGUGUUGCGGUUGAUGCGUCUGAGAGUAGAAGCGAGAUAAGGAGAGAAAGAAAGAGCUAUGAGAGUGGAGGCAAAAGCAGAAGAGAAAGAUAGAGAGGAGAGAAGAGAAAAAAAGUGUCAGCAGUGAGAGGGAAGACGAGAAUAAUUUAUACCCCACAUGUUAUAAUUGGUGAAAAAUAUUUUUGAGCUACCGUACGUGUGACAAACUAUACUCCACAUGUUAUAGUUGUUGAAAAUUUAUAUAUUAUUGAAUAUUAUACUUGAAAUCUAUUAAUAAUUAUUGAAUAUUAUAUUUUAUAUUAUCAAAGAAUUCUAUAUUUAUGAGGUUAUUAAUGUUAUUAUUAAUAAGACCAUUAAUAACAAAUUCUAUCUCCCACUGUAUUAUAUUCUGUUUAAUUUCCAAUUUUAUAAAUACCCAUGUUAUUGAUUAUAUAUGUUCUCACUCUUAGUAUUUUAUUAUGGCCUCAUUCAAUAAAUAUGAUUUCUAAUUUCAUUAUAUUCUACACUUUUAUUAUCAUUCAUAAAUAAAAUCCUAAUUUUAUUAUGUUUUGUUUCUUUAUAUAUUAUUUGUCAUGAAUCAGUUGGUUAUGUUCUUAUCUUGCUCUAUGACAUUUCACUGACUGCUCAUCUGUGCUAUUCCUACCGUUCAUUUAUUUCUCCUCUACUUUGUGGUAUUUUUUAUCACUUUUAUUUGAAGUAUGUUUUUUAUAUUUAUUUUGUAAUAUUUAUUUUGUUUAUUCAUAUGUCAUAUUUAGAAUAGUUAAUUUAAAGCCCCGUUUAGAGAUUUUUUUUUUUAAAUAAAUGUUUCUUUUUCUUGCUUUAAAUAUAAAUAAUUACUAUAUGGUCUAUGUUACAUCAAAUUCUGAAUAUAUUGGAUGGAUCUCAGAAAUCAAUUAAUGGGAAACUAUAUAAUUAAUUGAAUUCUGCACAGUGGCUUGCUCUGGCUAAAGAGCGGAAGCAGCUCUCAGUUGAAACCACUGCAGACCAGGAUCCACUUGUAACUAGAGGAGGUUGAGAAGUACCUUUCCGGGUUCACAAAAGUGGACGACAAUCGAUACUCAAUGAAAAUCUUUUUUGAGAUAAGGAAGCAAAAGUAUCUUGAGACAUUGGAUAAGUAAGCUUCCAAGUUUUAGGUUAUUAAUUAUCUAAUUGUCGGUUUUAUGAGAAGUGAUUGUUUGUCUUUGGAGAUUCUGUGGCAUAUAGCAUGUGAAUGAGAC